AGGGAUGCAGCUCAGUAAGUAGGGUGUUUGCCUUGCAUGCACAGGGCCCUGGGUUCAAUCCCCAGCUCCACUA
Molecule: transfer RNA, 73 nt
Filed under: Marmota marmota marmota (Alpine marmot)
Lineage: Eukaryota; Metazoa; Chordata; Mammalia; Rodentia; Sciuridae
Also listed under: 1 other name
Rfam family: tRNA
About the family: Transfer RNA (tRNA) molecules are approximately 80 nucleotides in length.
Source: Rfam by way of RNAcentral